RNAcentral lists this ribosomal RNA (350 nucleotides) under uncultured bacterium. RNAcentral's name for it is "bacterial SSU rRNA". It matches the Rfam family "Bacterial small subunit ribosomal RNA", at positions 8 to 350 of the family's 1533-position model. The record is from RNAcentral.
AGAGUUUGAUCAUGGCUCAGGAUGAACGCUGGCGGCGUGCUUAACACAUGCAAGUCGAACGAGAGAAGAUUAGUGCUUGCGCUGAUCCGAUCGAGUGGCGGACGGGUGAGUAACGCGUGGGUAACCUGCCUCAUACAGGGGAAUAACAGUUGGAAACGGCUGCUAAAACCGCAUAAGCGCACAGUAUCGCAUGAUACAGUGUGAAAAACUCCGGUGGUAUGAGAUGGACCCGCGUCUGAUUAGCUAGUUGGUGAGGUAACGGCCCACCAAGGCAACGGAUCAGUAGCCGGCCUGAGAGGGUGAACGGCCACAUUGGGACUGAGACACGGCCCAAACUCCUACGGGAAGCA